GCGAAAGUGGCGGAACUGGCAGACGCGCUGGACUUAGGAUCCAGUAGGUAACACUGUGGGGGUUCAACUCCCCCCUUUCGCA
Molecule: transfer RNA, 82 nt
Filed under: bacterium
Lineage: Bacteria
Also listed under: 1 other name
Description: tRNA-Leu
Rfam family: tRNA
About the family: Transfer RNA (tRNA) molecules are approximately 80 nucleotides in length. Their secondary structure includes four short double-helical elements and three loops (D, anti-codon, and T loops).
Source: RNAcentral